RNAcentral lists this ribosomal RNA (257 nucleotides) under uncultured bacterium. Its description in RNAcentral is "partial 16S ribosomal RNA". It matches the Rfam family "Bacterial small subunit ribosomal RNA", at positions 524 to 777 of the family's 1533-position model. The record is from RNAcentral.
UACGUAGGUGACAAGCGUUGUCCGGAUUUACUGGGCGUAAAGAGCGCGCAGGCGGUCGUUCAAGUCGAGUGUGAAAGCCCCCCGGCUCAACUGGGGGGGGGUCACUCGAUACUGAUCGACUCGAAGGCAGGAGAGGGAAGUGGAAUUCCCGGUGUAGUGGUGAAAUGCGUAGAUAUCGGGAGGAACACCAGUGGCGAAGGCGACUUCCUGGCCUGUUCUUGACGCUGAGGCGCGAAAAGCUAGGGGAGCAAACGGGG